Cebus imitator (Panamanian white-faced capuchin) is the source of this 2694-nucleotide long non-coding RNA. RefSeq lists it as uncharacterized. NCBI's taxonomy places the organism in Eukaryota, Metazoa, Chordata, Mammalia, Primates, Cebidae. The record is from RefSeq and is a predicted model, not a curated record. The transcript is spliced from 2 exons.
UUUUUUUUUUCCUAAAACCAGUUUGUGUUUUCCUUUUUAAAUGGAAUGUUUUGAUACAGGUCAAUUUUAAUGUAACCAAAUCUAUAAAUUAUUUCCUUUAUAAAUGAUCUCUUUGCUGGUGUACCUGCAUGAGAAGAUCAUACCAUUCCGAGACUGAUGGGCCUGCUCACCUGUACUGUGCUGGUUAUAUUAUCAUUUUACUCUGUCAACACUGUCAUAAGAAUUGCAGUUGACUGCAGUGUGAGCCAGCAUAUUAUUUUGGAACUAGCUAGUUACCCACGAUAGGAAAUGCUGCUUUUGUCAUGUGUUCUGUUUUCAUGCAUUUCAUUCUAUUCUAUUUUGUUCUGUUCUGUUUCUCUUUCUUUCUCCUUUAGCUCUGGUAUUCCCUAUAAAGAAUGUUUCUUCCAAACACUUAAAAUCCACAAGUAGAUAUUGUGAUUUGAUUGGGAUUUAGGGUCCACUGCAUUCUGCUUUGACGUCACACAGCCUUCUUUGGUGCUCACGCUGCAUCCGAAAGCUUCUCUUUCUGCAGGGUCCUGCUGCCCUCCUGCACUGCGCUUUUGCUCAGCGGUAUCUGUGGAGGUUGCAUCAGUGGUGAGCUCUGAGGUCUUGAGUGACUAACAUGUCUGUCCCGUUCCUGUGAUAACUGUCUCAGCUCAAUGCUGAAUUUCAGUUUCAGAAAUACUUUUUUUGAACCUUUCCUGCUGAUGGUUUUGGGCUCAGGUGUCUAAUGAUCCUUUUGUUAUUGAUUCAUGCUUAGGAAUAUAGUUAGGAUAGGUCGCUGGCAUGGUCUGUUUCCCAGAAGGCCUAUUCUCUGAGUCGCACUAGACAUAUCCAAGAGCAGUUUCCCAGUAGAACUUAAGGGCAGACCGCAGUGGGCAGGAAUUAUGUACAUGCAAGGCUACAAAUCAGCAGAUGGCAAAUCCAGCUGGAGCGAGAGGUUGGGGACAGGCAACUUCCCCAGGCCCUGGUGUCUCAGCGGCGUGCUGCAAGUUCCCAGCAUGGGGCCCGUGGAGAGGAGGCAGCAAAGGAAAGCCUUGUGCCUAACAGGAGCCCCGUGAGACUCCCAGUUCAGGAGCACGAUGUGCUGUGUGGCUAGGGCCCAUGGAAUCCAGUUCAGACACCCCUCUUUUUUUCUGCAGAAAGCCGCCCCUGCCAAGGCUUGCUGGCCCCACCUGGAAAUUAUAACAGGUCCGUGAGCAGCUGCACAUGCACAUGUACUGUUUCUCUGUGGAGAUUUGAUUCUGCUGUCCCCCUGCUGACUGUGGAGCCGACUCCAUGGAGGUCCUUGUUCCUCUUUUUAAACCGCACUCAGGGAGCAGCUGAGCUCCUGCCUUGUUUACUUCAGACUUCACACCAGAGUGUACAUUGGGGAGCAAAACGAAGGUCCCCCUGUUCCUUGGAAAGAUGAAAAUUCUCUAACCGUGACUGGGGUCUCCUUUUUCAUUCAUUUUAUGCUGCAUAUUUUGCAUUCGGAUGUGAUAAGAAGCCAAAUAGAUAAAAACAAAAGAACCUGAGUGAGUUGGGUGCAGGGUCUCGUUCUCAUCUCCUGGGGGGCUUCCCCACAGGGCAGAGUGUACAUUGUCCUGGAAAGUCCUGCCAUAAAUAACAACAGCCAGCAGGAAGUCAGACUCUACCCCCAAGCUAGUGAGGCUGGGCUACUAGUUCCAGCACCUUCAGCUGCGGCUUUUCAGAGAAGUGGGCCCUUUGUCUUCUACUUCGGAAUCCACUUAUGUUUUACAUUUUUGUAUAUAUAUAAUGUUUAUGAUGGUUUGCUUUUUUUUUUUUUUUUUAAGCCAGUGACAGACUUCAAAAAGGGCAGACUUUUUCAAGAGAGAUAUUAUAUCACUGCAUUAGAAAUUCAGGAAGAACUAAAAUGUUAUUUCUGAGAACCACUCUAUGCCAAGUACUGUUUUGGGAGUUUUGCAUGUGUGGGUUCAUUUAUUUCUCACAAUGACCAAUCCAGGUAGGACCCCCUCAUUCUACGUAGGAGGGAAAUGAAGCCAGGGACAGGUGAGGAGCUUGCCUGAUGCCUUACAAUUAGAGUGACGGCAGUUAGAACUGGUUUUGAUGAUGCAUUUCUCUUGUACUUAUAAAAAGCAGAUACGAAUCUCUAGUUUGUGCUUACCUCGUCUUCCUUGCUUCCCUCUGUCCCAUGCCAGCGUCCAGCCAAGCCUUUCUUGGGCCUGCAGGGGCUCCAACCCAGGAGCUGUGGACUGUGGGCUGUUGUGUUUCAGUAAGAUAUUUCCGUGAGUUCAUAAAAGCAAAAUCAUUUCUUACUUCUGUGUUAGUCUAAUGUCAGUGUUCCUGAUGAGUGGCCACUUUUCUUACAUGUGGGGAUUUGGGAGACCCAGCCUCCUCCUUUGUAUACCAACAGCCCUGAGGCCCUACAGUCAGCUUGGUGGGGAAAAGACUAGGAAGGAAGCACCUGCUUCUUAAAGGUAAACUAUCCACACACACCCCAUUGGCCAGGACUGGUCACGUGACCACAUCUGGCUGCAAGGCGGUCUGGGAAAUGUAGUCCCCACUGGGAGGCACCUGGCGGGAGCCCCAACCUAUGGCAGGAGCAGAGAUUUCGAAGGCUGCUGGCUCGCUCUGCCCUGGAGGUAAUGCUGAAAUUUGACUUUGUGUAUAACUGAUGUGAAUUACCUUUGUCAUAUCUUUGGAAUAAGCUGUGGUCAUUCUUUUUCUUUC